This 298-nucleotide long non-coding RNA is filed under the name Gossypium barbadense (sea-island cotton). Its description in RNAcentral is "long non-coding RNA (GBAR_LNC012741)". Lineage: Eukaryota; Viridiplantae; Streptophyta; Magnoliopsida; Malvales; Malvaceae. The record is from RNAcentral.
AGACAUGACCGGUGGAGCGACGGAGCAGGCUUUUGGCAGAGGGUAGGUGGCCGAAGGUCAAGGGGCGGUUAAGGGUGAAGACCCUAGGUGCGGUGCACCUAGGGUUUGGUUGCUGAUUAGGGUUAGGUGUUUUGCUAGGGGUUUGGGCUUAAGUUUAGGUUAGUGGGUAUGGGUUAGAUAAUUGGGUUAAGGUUGGGCUGAUAUUGUAUUUGGGUUUGAUAGGUUAAGGUUGAUGGGUUAGAGUAGUAAAUGCGUUGAGGUUGGGUUAAUGUUUUGUUGUAUUGGGUCCAAAAUUGGC